Molecule: ribosomal RNA, 446 nt
Filed under: uncultured bacterium
Lineage: Bacteria
Description: partial 16S ribosomal RNA
Rfam family: Bacterial small subunit ribosomal RNA
Source: RNAcentral
CCUACGGGAGGCUGCAGUCGAGAAUCAUUCACAAUGGGGGAAACCCUGAUGGUGCGACGCCGCGUGGGGGAAUGAAGGUCUUCGGAUUGUAAACCCCUGUCAUGUGGGAGCAAAUUAAAAAGAUAGUACCACAAGAGGAAGAGACGGCUAACUCUGUGCCAGCAGCCGCGGUAAUACAGAGGUCUCAAGCGUUGUUCGGAAUCACUGGGCGUAAGGCGUGCGUAGGCUGUUUCGUAAGUCGUGUGUGAAAGGCGCGGGCUCAACCCGCGGACGGCACAUGUUACUGCGAGACUAGAGUAAUGGAGGGGGAACCGGAAUUCUCGGUGUAGCAGUGAAAUGCGUAGAUAUCGAGAGGAACACUCGUGGCGAAGGCGGGUUCCUGGACAUUAACUGACGCUGAGGCACGAAGGCCAGGGGAGCGAAAGGGAUUAGAUACCCCGGUAGUC